AUGUCCUUUUACAGACAUGAGGAUCAUCACACGUGUCUCUGUCAGUCACUGAAUCAACUGAGUUUGAUUUUUGUAUCACUGUGGUGGACUUUCGGCAGCGGCACCAAACUGGAUGUUGGCAGCGUCACUCGUCCUAAAGUGAGCGUCCUGCCGCCCUCCAGUGCAGAGAUCUCCUCAAAGAAGACAGCGACACUGGUGUGUGUGGCCAGCAAGGGCUUCCCGUCAGACUGGAGCCUGAGCUGGAAGGUGGACGGGAGCAGCAGGUCUCAGGAGAGCAGCGCUGGGCUCCUGGAGAAGGACGGUCUGUACAGCUGGAGCAGCAGCCUGACUCUCUCUGAGCAGGAGUGGAUGGAGAGCGUCUCAGUGAGCUGUGAGGCCACACGGAGCGGCCAGCCUGCGCUCACUGGACACGUGACGAGACAGCAGUGUUCAGAGUAGAUCUGCUGCUCUUCUCACUCAUGUCUCACAUGGAGACUAACAGCACAUGAGCGACUCCUUCAUUCUCCACAUCCAGCUUCAGUCGCUCGCAUCUGCAUCUGCUCUGCUUUGUGUGCUUCAUACAAGAACAUAUGUGUCUGCUUUAUCAUUCAGUUAUGAUUCUAUUACAGUUCAGUCAAUAAAUAACAUACAAUUGUAACUUU
Non-coding RNA from Carassius carassius (crucian carp), 641 nucleotides. Lineage: Eukaryota; Metazoa; Chordata; Actinopteri; Cypriniformes; Cyprinidae. The record is from the annotation of a RefSeq genome assembly.